This 241-nucleotide ribosomal RNA is filed under the name uncultured bacterium. RNAcentral's name for it is "partial 16S ribosomal RNA". It matches the Rfam family "Bacterial small subunit ribosomal RNA", at positions 8 to 263 of the family's 1533-position model. The record is from RNAcentral.
AGAGUUUGAUCAUGGCUCAGAUUGAACGCUGGCGGCAGGCCUAACACAUGCAAGUCGAGCGGGGGUAGCAAUACCCUAGCGGCGAACGGGUGAGGAAUACUUGGGAAUCUGCCUCGUAGUGGGGGAUAACGUUCCGAAAGGAACGCUAAUACCGCAUACGUCCUACGGGAGAAAGGGGGGGAUCUUCGGACCUCUCGCUAUGAGAUGAGCCCAAGUCGGAUUACUAGUUGGGGGGUAAAGG